GGUUUCUUGAUUAUAUUUAAGAAAUUUAACCUGCCCACUGAAAAAUUUUUGAAGGGCCGCAGUAUUUUGACUGUGCAAAGGUAGCAUAAUCAUUAGUCUUUUAAUUAAGGGCUGGUAUGAAUGGUUGGACGAGGUAAAUUCUGUUUUAUAUUAAUUGAAGUUGAAAUUAGAUUUUAAGUAAAAAGACUUAAAUGUUAUUAAGGGACGAGAAGACCCUAUAGAGUUUAAUAUAUUUAGUAAUUAAUUGAGUUAAUAAUUAAUUUUUGGUUUUUAUGAAAUUUAUUUAAUUGGGGUGAUUGGAAGAUAUAUAAAACUCUUUUUUAAAUUUAAUAUUGUUAAUAGUUUUAAGAUCCAUUAAUAAUGAUUAAAAGAUUAAAUUACCUUAGGGAUAACAGCAUAAUUCUUUUUGAGAGUUCAUAUCGAAAAAGGAGAUUGUGACCUCGAUGUUGGAUUAAGAUUAGUUUUGGGUGCAGAUGUUCAAUAACUAGGUCUGUUCGACCUUGAAAAUCUUACA
Molecule: ribosomal RNA, 514 nt
Filed under: Statilia apicalis
Lineage: Eukaryota; Metazoa; Arthropoda; Insecta; Mantodea; Mantidae
Description: partial 16S ribosomal RNA
Rfam family: Bacterial large subunit ribosomal RNA
Source: RNAcentral